Molecule: ribosomal RNA, 1241 nt
Filed under: metagenome
Description: bacterial LSU rRNA
Rfam family: Bacterial large subunit ribosomal RNA
Source: RNAcentral
UGAGUACGAGAUGCUACGGCAUCGAAGCAGUCUAUGUCAUACUUCCAAGAAAAGCUUGCAAUGUCAUAAACAAAUAAUGCCUGUACCAUAAUCGACACAGGUGGGUAGGUAGAGUAUACUAAGGGGCGCGAGAUAACUCUCUCUAAGGAACUCGGCAAAAUGACUCCGUAACUUCGGGAGAAGGAGUGCCUUAUUUUUAUAAGGUUGCAAUAACAAGAUCCAAGCAACUGUUUACCAAAAACACAGGUCUCCGCUAAGUCGUAAGACGAUGUAUGGGGGCUGACGCCUGCCCAGUGCCAGAAGGUUAAAGAAGUUGGUUAGCAUUAGCGAAGCUGAUAACUGAAGCCCUGGUGAACGGCGGCCGUAACAAUAACGGUCCUAAGGUAGCGAAAUUCCUUGUCGGGUAAGUUCCGACCCGCACGAAAGGCGUAAUGAUUUGGAUACUGUCUCGGAGAGGGGCUCGGUGAAAUAGACUUGUCUGUGAAGAUGCGGACUACCUGCACCUGGACAGAAAGACCCUAUGAAGCUUUACUGUAACUUGAGAUUGAAAUUGGACUUUAUCUGCGCAGUAUAGGUGGGAGACGUUGAAAAUAUUCUUGCGGGAAUAUUGGAGUCAUCAGUGAGAUACCACUCUUAUAAUGUUAGAUUUCUAACUUUGUAUCAUUAUCUGGUCAAAGAACAGUUUCAGGCGGGCAGUUUGACUGGGGCGGUCGCCUCCCAAACGGUAACGGAGGCGCACAAAGGUUUCCUCUGAACGUGUAGAAAUCGUAUCUAGAGUGUAAAGGCAUAAGGAAGCUUGACUGUGAGACCUACAAGUCGAGCAGGGACGAAAGUCGGUCUUAGUGAUCUGACGGUGCUGAGUGGAAAGGCCGUCACUCAACGGAUAAAAGUUACUCUAGGAUAACAGGCUGAUCUCCCCCAAGAGUUCACAUCGACGGGGAGGUUUGGCACCUCGAUGUCGGCUCAUCGCAUCCUGGGGCGGUAGUACGUCCCAAGGGUUGGGCUGUUCGCCCAUGAAAGCGGUACGCGAGCUGGGUUCAGAACGUCGUGAGACAGUUCGGUCCAUAUCCGGUGUAGGCGUUAGAAUAUUGAGAGGAGCCUUCUUUAGUACGAGAGGACCGAGAAGGACAUACCUCUGGUGUACCAGUUAUCGUGCCAACGGUAAGCGCUGGGUAGCCAUGUAUGGAGAGGAUAACCGCUGAAAGCAUCUAAGUGGGAAGCCCACCUCAAGAUAAGUAUUC